This is a long non-coding RNA of Astatotilapia calliptera (eastern happy), 2880 nucleotides long. The record is from Ensembl. NCBI's taxonomy places the organism in Eukaryota, Metazoa, Chordata, Actinopteri, Cichliformes, Cichlidae.
ACAUGUUAUAUUUGUUCCUAUCUGUGUGUGUAUAUUCUUUUCUUUGUGUACCUAGCCCCACAGGUGUGCAAUAAACCCAGAGAAAUCCCAGAAACGGUGUUGAACCCAGCACCUUCAACGUCUGGUGACACUGGUAAAAUUUCUUAUUUUGAAUAGUGAUUGACAUAUGUACGUGAAAUAAUAAUCUUGCAUUCAUUAUCUUGUUGUAGUUGAUGGCUCAUAAAAGAAUUUCUUACAUGCUGUUUCAAAUGAAUUUCCUUCUAUAGAUAGUGCUUAUUUUUCUUGCAUUUAAUAUGCAUUCUAUGUAGUGUUUUGUCUGAAACCUGUUAAAAUCCCUAUAGAACCUCAGAAAAGAGUUGACAACAAGAAAGCCAAUCGAAGGUCAACAGAUGCAACUUUUCCUGACCCGUGUGGACCACCGUGCGAAGCUCUGACAAAGCCUGAGAACAUUUUGGCCAGCCGUUCAUCAUGGUGUUUUGUACCGCACCCUGGCCAACAACAGCUUCUCAACUAUGUUCUGGACAUCAGCAGACCCAAAGAUGAGCUGAUUGUUGAAACGUCUUCUGGAUGCCUCACGCGGUCAGAUUUUUGGACACUGGGUUUAAACAAAGAAAUGGAAUCGACUGUAAGUAUUUUUUUUCUACGAAUAUGAAAAAAUAAAGUGUACAUUCAUUGUUAUCAUGAUUUUUUUCUGUUUCAGAUUGGAAAUGGCUGUUUUGAGCUUAUCACUAAAAUUGUUCAGUCAAAGGUACUGUAUGUUGUAUAUGAUGAUUGUCAAGCUUUAAUUUAAAGAGCUGUUGUUUUAAAUGUUUUUUUGUUUUUUUUUUUUACAUUCUAGGGGAUAAGCAUUUACAUCGAAAAUCUGUAUGUCACCCGGACUUGGCUUGCACCCUAUGGCUGUGAUCCAUUGCGGUCCUUUCCUGUAAGUGUACCGUCCUUUAAAGAAACAAGCAAGUAAUCCAAAUGAUUUUUUUUAUAACUUUGGUGCGAGUUCAUAUACAGGAUACUUAAAAAUACAAUUCUGUUUCAGACUGAUGCUCAGAGGAUGGACAUCAUAGUUCUCCCUCUCUGGACACCUGGUCAUUUCCAGUUGUGUGUAAGUCUUGUUUUUUGACACGUACAAACUGUUAGAAUUUUGCUAUGUGUCUGAGAUGUAUUCAAGCUUUUAUGACGCAGUUUCAAAAGUCUUUGACUGUGAUCGCUUGCAAUGACAUUGUUUUCAGGUUUGAAGUCAUGGCUAACUGUCUUUUAGGUACUGAAGCCACCUAAAAGAGAAAUCCUCUUUCUUGACCCAUUAUACACCAAGGCAGGAUUUGGUGGCCAACAAUAUGUUUCACUUUUGAGGUCACAUUUUUAUAAGCAUUUUUGGUUUGUUCCGGAGUUUUCAGGAACCUGUUCAGUGUUCCAGGUUAAGUGCAUCCCAGAUCAUGUUCUGCUGAUCUUGAGUGUUCACACAUACAGUACACUCACAUGCUUUUUCUAUAAACUAUAUCAGCAAGUUUCUGUGUGGAGUUUGCAUGUUCUCCCCAUGUUUGCGUGAGUUCCCUCCGGGUACUCCGGCUUCCUCCCACCGUCUAAAGACAUGCAGCUUGUGGGGAUAGGUUAAUUGGAUAAUCCAAAUUGCCACUAGGUGUGAAUGUGGGAGUGAAUGUGAGUGUGAAUGGUUGUCUGUCCCUGUGUGUUAGCCCUGCGACAGACUGGCGACCUGUCCAGUCUGUCGCCCUAUGACAGCUGGGAUAGGCUCCAGCGCCCCCCGUGACCCUGAAAAGGAUAAGCGGAAGCGAAUGGAUGGAUGGAUGGAUGGAUGGAUGGAUAUAUCAGCAUGAUGCUUCAACAUUUUAUUCUCAUCUUCAAAUUAUGAUCAAGUCAGUGAUACUGUCUGUAGAUGAGUUUCAGACAUAAAUUGGGUCUUCCAGUGUUCUAUUUUAACAUAAAACACCAUUAAAAAUUAUUUUAUAAAAUAUGCCAACAUUAACUUAAAGCUGUAAAUGCUUUAUUUUGACCAACUGUGAGCAUGUGACUGUACUUUUUCAUUUUGUUAUGCUGUUUUUUUGAGGUCGUGUUCCUAAGGCCUGUAGUUACAGUUGGUGCUAUUAGCAAUAAACAUUUCACACCCAUCAUGAUCAUCAUCUGUUAACUUGUGAAUGUAACUGUUUUUUUUAAAAAAAAAAGGAAUCUUGCAGUGAAGAUCAUUCCCGGGCAGUGGUCAGAAAAAAAGAGCUGUGACUUGAAGGGUUUUCCAAGCCAAGACUAUGGAGUUGACUGUGGGAUCUUCAUGCUGAUGUCUGCUCUGUACGUGGCACUGGAUGCUUCAUUUGACUAUACUAUAUCAGACAUGCCCUACUUGCGUAAAUGGUGGUGCUUGCUGUUGAUGGAGAACUUUGAUCUCAGGAGCUCUGGCAAGCUAUUUGCACACUGGAGAGAGGAAGCCAAAGCUGUGCUUGAAGGACAACACGUGCCCAUUUUCAGAGUGAAAAAGCGCAAGUUACAGGAAGUCAGUCAGGAGCCAGCAGUUGUUGCAGAUCUGCGUCCUGCUGUGCAGUGGGUUGUCCAAAAUAAGGCACUUUUCCGUGGACACGUAACAAUGCCCAAAUAUGUGUCCUUAAAUCAAGGAGACCAGCAGAGGGUCUUAAGAGACAUGUCAGAGGAAGAAGACACUGGAGCAAGGGACUUGUUCCUCUUUGUUUUUCAGUUUGCAGAGGACAUGGAGCUCUUUUUGAAUGCAUGUGCUGAUGAGCAGGGGCUAAGGGUCAGUGCUAUGUUUGACAUGUGAUGGACAAAUGAAGGCACUGGCUGUGUUUGUUUGUUUGUUUAAUAUGUUGUUGUUGUUGUUGUUUUUGCGUAGUACAAAAUUCCUAUUAAACUUAUUUCAAAAUGUUG